AUCUGGAAGAAUCUGGAGACAGGUGCUGCAUGGCUGUCGUCAGCUCGUGUCGUGAGAUGUUGGGUUAAGUCCCGCAACGAGCGCAACCCUUGCCUUUAGUUGCCAGCAGUUCGGCUGGGCACUCUAAAGGGACUGCCGGUGUUAAACCGGAGGAAGGUGGGGAUGACGUCAAGUCCUCAUGGCCUUUAUGACCAGGGCUACACACGUACUACAAUGGCCGAUACAAAGGGCAGCGACACUGCGAGGUGAAGCCAAUCCCGUAAAAUCGGUCUCAGUCCGGAUUGGAGUCUGCAACUCGACUCCAUGAAGUUGGAAUCGCUAGUAAUCGUGGAUCAGCAUGCCACGGUGAAUACGUUCCCGGGCCUC
This 366-nucleotide ribosomal RNA is filed under the name uncultured Desulfobulbus sp. Its description in RNAcentral is "bacterial SSU rRNA". It matches the Rfam family "Bacterial small subunit ribosomal RNA", at positions 1014 to 1381 of the family's 1533-position model. Lineage: Bacteria; Pseudomonadati; Thermodesulfobacteriota; Desulfobulbia; Desulfobulbales; Desulfobulbaceae. The record is from RNAcentral.